UACGUAGGGUGCGAGCGUUGUCCGGAAUUAUUGGGCGUAAAGAGCUCGUAGGCGGCUUGUCGCGUCGGAUGUGAAAGCCCGGGGCUUAACUUCGGGUCUGCAUUCGAUACGGGCAGGCUAGAGUUCGGUAGGGGAGAUCGGAAUUCCUGGUGUAGCGGUGAAAUGCGCAGAUAUCAAGAGGAACACCUGAGGUGAAGACGGGUUGCUGGGCUGACACUGACGCUGAGGCGCGAAAGCCAGGGGAGCAAACGGG
Molecule: ribosomal RNA, 253 nt
Filed under: uncultured bacterium
Lineage: Bacteria
Description: partial 16S ribosomal RNA
Rfam family: Bacterial small subunit ribosomal RNA
Source: RNAcentral